RNAcentral lists this ribosomal RNA (250 nucleotides) under uncultured bacterium. Its description in RNAcentral is "partial 16S ribosomal RNA". It matches the Rfam family "Bacterial small subunit ribosomal RNA", at positions 524 to 773 of the family's 1533-position model. The record is from RNAcentral.
GACGUAGGAUGCAAGCGUUGUCCGGAUUUAUUGGGCGUAAAGAGUUCGUAGGUGGUUUGUUAAGUCUGAUGUUAAAGACUGGGGCUCAACCUCGGAAAUGCAUUGGAUACUGGCAGACUUGAGUGCAGUAGAGGCAAGCGGAAUUCCAGGUGUAGCGGUGAAAUGCGUAGAUAUCUGGAAGAACACCGGUGGCGCAAGCGGCUUGCUGGGCUGUAACUGACGCUGAGGAACGAAAGCUAGGGGAGCGAAU